Equus quagga is the source of this 1167-nucleotide long non-coding RNA. RefSeq lists it as uncharacterized. The record is from RefSeq and is a predicted model, not a curated record. NCBI's taxonomy places the organism in Eukaryota, Metazoa, Chordata, Mammalia, Perissodactyla, Equidae. The transcript has 7 exons.
CACAUUUCCCAGGAAGUGCUCAUGAGAACAAUGUUCUCUAGGUUCUUGUGUGUUACUAGCAGUUUGUGCUCUUCAUCCUUGAAGGUCAAUAAUAGGAUCAGCUCUUUUCUCUGCUGGUUCUUCAUUCUGGCCUUGAGGUGCGCUGAGAAAAGCCUUCCAGAGUGUCUUCAGUUUGUUUCCUGCCCUGCAGUCCGGCAGGUAGGGUUGUGGGCUGCAUCACCCAGGCCUGGGCAGCAGGGAAAUCGCAUAUUCCAAGCACCAUUCCGGCAGACUCUGAUGGAGCAUCUCGGAGAAGCUGUCUCCUACCAGCUAUAGAAGAAAAUCAAGAAGUGAGAAUUAAAAGAAUGAAGGACAGAGAAAAUGAAGUGAAAAAUAGAGCCGUUAGAGGUGGUGAUCGUGAAGUCUGAUGCCGAACUGGUUCUUUGAGAAAAUUGCACCUGCUUGCAUGUCCACUGACCAGCUGAAGGGCUGGCUAAGCUUCGUGACUGCUUUUCUUCCGCUCACCACUGGAAAAUCCACACUGGGCUCCCUCUAGGAGGAAUCCUGCUACCUGUGAUAUCCAAGUUCUGCCGCAGUGUGCACUGCAGUUUUCUCUGUGGAAGACCGUUCUACUUCAGGAUGAAAUAUCCUUCAACGACACCUGGGUGCCCUCGUCUAGCUGUUUUCCUGCUACGUCAGAGACAUUUUGGCUCCAUUCAGAGUCUCCUCCUUGACUACCAACCAGAUCUCCAAAGAAAUUUCAGUUCAGAAAAAAAGUUAAGACACCCUGCUGUAGAUGUGGGCUCUUCUUACCAGUUCCAAUACUUUCUUGAACCUCUCUGUAAGCAAUACGGAAAAGAAUGUAUCAGCCAGCAGCUGCAGAAGCUGCUCCCUCAGGUCAUAGGUUGCAAGCUUCUGGAGAGUGGGGAACAUGUAUUUUACCCCUACAUUUGUAUCCCUUGCAAGAUCUGAUUCACCGGAAGAAGUAUGCUAAGUUGUGGAGGGUUCCAGAAGGAGCCAAGCAGUGGUUUAUGGUGAAGGAGGAGAUUUCCACGUCAUGGGAAGUAUCUCAUCAUUUCAGCUGUAGCAAAGAAGCAGGGUGAGGUGCAGUGGUGGACUGGAAGGGGAUGGAUGUAAACAAGGGUCAUGAGGGCCAGUUCUAGAGAGACCUAUCUGGCUGGACAACUA